Molecule: ribosomal RNA, 371 nt
Filed under: uncultured organism
Description: bacterial SSU rRNA
Rfam family: Bacterial small subunit ribosomal RNA
Source: RNAcentral
CAGAGGUGGCGAGCGUUGUUCGGAAUUACUGGGCGUAAAGGGCGCGUAGGCGGUCUUGUAAGUCUCGUGUGAAAUCCCUCGGCUUAACUGAGGAACUGCACGGGAUACUGUUUGACUUGAGUUCGGGAGAGGGAAGCGGAAUUCCGGGUGUAGCGGUGAAAUGCGUAGAUAUCCGGAGGAACACCGGUGGCGAAGGCGGCUUCCUGGACCGACACUGACGCUGAGGCGCGAAAGCUAGGGGAGCAAACGGGAUUAGAUACCCCGGUAGUCCUAGCUGUAAACGAUGAGUGCUGGGUGUAGGAGGUAUUAACCCUCCUGUGCCGAAGCUAACGCAUUAAGCACUCCGCCUGGGGAGUACGGUCGCAAGGCUG